RNAcentral lists this long non-coding RNA (1519 nucleotides) under Penaeus japonicus. Its description in RNAcentral is "uncharacterized LOC122260861". Lineage: Eukaryota; Metazoa; Arthropoda; Malacostraca; Decapoda; Penaeidae. The record is from RNAcentral.
GUGCAUGUGUGUGUGGCAGGCGCGGCCGACUAGCGUACUGGCGCGAAUAGACAGGCAGUGCGGUGUUGGAAGCGGAAAAGGAGGUACGCGUGGCAUUCGCGCGUCUGACAACCUGAAUGCCUUCGAAUGUGCAGCUGGCGGACAUGGCGAAGUGACCGAAGUAAACUCUCAGCCACACGCACAGAGUUGUCCACGGUGACGUCAUGAUUACGUCAUCAAUCGGCGAUAUAUCCUCAUGAAUGACGAGAUGGAGUUGGUCGGCCCUGAUUGGACGGCUUCUAAAUGAUCUGCUUGUCAAUAGCAUUUUUUUUCUCCACUUUGAAUGACUUGAAAUAACAGCGUCUUUUAUAUGUAAUUCAUGAUUAUGUGGAAGAAAGCUAGUUGACUUGAUCCUAUCAGGCAUCUUUGUGUAUUAUGCUUUAGAUUUAUCAUUUAACGGACGAAAAAUGUCAAUAAACCACAAUGAACGAACUUGAUGUGAUGAAAUGCAUGGCUCGGACAGGAGGAUCAAAGUAAUGAAUUGCAUGAUUAGACAAGGUAAACAAAAUACACACGGAGAAACAUCUGACAGACGGAAAAGAAACAGAAGAGUGGGCAAAUGCGAAAGCAAAUCAACAAGCAGAAAAAGUGAGAAGCCAUCGAGUUGAAAACAAAUAUAUGAGUGAAUUUAGAGAAACAUGAGUUAGUGAAAUCAGCCUAUUGAACAAAGAGACAAAAUUCCUACCAUGGGAUGGUAUGUUCUCGAAUCGCUAAGGACCCAAACCUUCUCAUCUCCUUUCUGUUGUAUUUGGCAUGGAGAGGAUCAGCAGCUUUUCACGAGAGCGGAGACCGGUGUCGUGUUGUGGACCAAUGGAAGACCAGAGCUGAUGAGAUAGUUAUUUUAUGGAUCUAUUAAUGUCAAACGUGAAUGCUCAUCUGGUUGCAUAAUUCUUAAUUCUUGUCAUUAAUAUUUAUAUAUACUUAUUACUGACGCACAAAUAAACAGCAAUAAAAAUGCUUGUGGCUCACCUGUCAGGCUUCUCUGAGGCUGAAGAAGCGGCGGUGAAAGGCGCCUCGACGACUUUUCUGGUGUUCCUUUAUCUUCUCCUUUCGCUCCUGCUAUUCAACCUCGAGGUCGUCCACGUCCUUCGCUCCUCACUCGCGUCCUUCACCUACUGGAUGAGGGCGUCCUACGCGGAAGCUUAUCCUGCGGCUGAAAAUGGCGCGCUUCCUGUGGCGGGGAUCGCGUUGUCCUCGGCGUCCCUCUCCUCUGCUCCGUCCUCCUCCCUCUUUUCGUCCUUUCCUUCUCCCUCUACUCCGCCCUCCUCCCCCCUAUCGUCCUCUCCUUCUUCCUCCUCUUCCUCUACAUCCAGCGGUACUCCUUUUUCCUCACUCUAUCGCUUCCCUUCCGCCUCUGCCAGUCGCCACACAAUAGCGGCCUCCUCUCUGCCUCCUCCUUUCCCUUCUCUAGGCCCUUCUUCCCCUGAGUAUUGUCGUCCUUCAGAACCGAGAUGACGCGUAUUAGGUACUUCGAGUGAUG